GAUAAUUUAGGCCAGAAUCCCUCCAUACAUUAAAAAUCAUUUUCUCAACAAUCUAGUAUAAAAUGGCAAAAGAAAAAUUUCUGAGAAUUGCUUGAUACUCGACCAUUUGCCCCAAUAUUAUUAUAUCCUUUCGGUAGCUAGGGCUUGAAAAUGAGAAUAAUGGCUGAUUGGUCGGAGCUUAACCGUGAACUGUUGGUUGUAAUUGUAAGACGUAUAAAGCUGAUUGAGGAUUACCUUAAUUUCCGCACUGUUUGCAGAUUGUGGCACUCUGUGGCCACCAAGG
This 283-nucleotide unclassified non-coding RNA is filed under the name Hevea brasiliensis (rubber tree). The record is from RNAcentral. Lineage: Eukaryota; Viridiplantae; Streptophyta; Magnoliopsida; Malpighiales; Euphorbiaceae.